Molecule: RNase P RNA, 425 nt
Filed under: Desulfobacula sp.
Lineage: Bacteria; Pseudomonadati; Thermodesulfobacteriota; Desulfobacteria; Desulfobacterales; Desulfobacteraceae
Also listed under: 1 other name
Description: RNase P RNA component class A
Rfam family: Bacterial RNase P class A
About the family: Ribonuclease P (RNase P) is a ubiquitous endoribonuclease, found in archaea, bacteria and eukarya as well as chloroplasts and mitochondria. Its best characterised activity is the generation of mature 5'-ends of tRNAs by cleaving the 5'-leader elements of precursor-tRNAs.
Source: RNAcentral
CUGACCAGGCAAAACGAUCGCUGGGUUUUUAAACCUGGAGGAAAGUCCGAACACCACAGGACAGGACGCUCCAUAACGUGGAGUCACGGUGACGUGAAGGAAAGUGCAACAGAGAGUAGACCGCCUCGCUACUCAGUUUGUUGAAUAACAUGAAGGACCCUUUUUAAGUUGUUCAUCGAACUGAGUAGCGAGGUAAGGGUGAAACGGUGCGGUAAGAGCGCACCAGUUUUCCAGGUGACUGGAAAAGCUUGGUAAACCCCGUCCGGUGCAAGACCAAAUAGGAAAAUGUUUGAGGGUUGUCCGCCCAAGUUUUCGGGUAGGUCGCAUGAGGUGUGCGGCAACGUACAUCCAAGAUGAAUGAUCGUUGAUCUGUUUGCGGUAACAAGAGCAGAUAACAAAAUUCGGCUUAUCAACUGGUCAGGCCG